This is a long non-coding RNA of Homo sapiens (human), 485 nucleotides long. The record is from Ensembl. NCBI's taxonomy places the organism in Eukaryota, Metazoa, Chordata, Mammalia, Primates, Hominidae.
CACAGCUUUUUGAGAACAAGGACCUUAUUGGCCUCUCUGGCACAAGCAAGCUGCCCAAGGAAUGUGGGCCACCAUCUCCAUAGCUGCUUUCUGAACUGGGGAUUGAGAGGUGGCGAUCACAGGGCACGCCCUAAGAAACCUGCACACUAACCUCCCUCUCAGACACUGCUUCUGGAGAGCCCAACCUGUGACCGCUGGGUCAGGAGGGGUCUGAGGAAGAAGAUGCUAAGAUGGGAUUCUGGCUCUGGAUCACCCACUGCCUAGCUGCUGAUAAGGAUCCUUUUGCUGGGGGUAGAUGGAGCGGGUACAUGCCCCCGCACAGAGCAGAGUGCCACCUGCCCAGAACCGCUCCACGGUCCAUGGAGAUCGGUUUACUUCUCUUUUCGCCUGCUUCCGCAGCCAAGACUCAACUCCCUCCCAUCCAUGAGUUCUCUUGGAGUAUCUUUGUGUAAACAAGGUCUCAGUAACUAAAUCCUGUUUCCAUC